Molecule: ribosomal RNA, 464 nt
Filed under: uncultured Geobacteraceae bacterium
Lineage: Bacteria; Pseudomonadati; Thermodesulfobacteriota; Desulfuromonadia; Geobacterales; Geobacteraceae
Description: partial 16S ribosomal RNA
Rfam family: Bacterial small subunit ribosomal RNA
Source: RNAcentral
CCUACGGGCGGCAGCAGUGGGGAAUUUUGCGCAAUGGGGGCAACCCUGACGCGGCAACGCCGCGUGAGUGAUGAAGGCCUUCGGGUCGUAAAGCUCUGUCAGAGGGGAAGAAAUGCAGGUGGUGAACAACCAUUCUGUUUGACGGUACCCUCAAAGGAAGCACCGGCUAACUCCGUGCCAGCAGCCGCGGUAAUACGGAGGGUGCGAGCGUUGUUCGGAAUUAUUGGGCGUAAAGCGCGUGUAGGCGGUUUGUUAAGUCUGAGGUAAAAGCCCCGGGCUCAACCGGGGAAGUGCAUUGGAUACUGGCAGACUUGAGUACGGGAGAGGAGAGUGGAAUUCCCAGUGUAGGAGUGAAAUCCGUAGAUAUUGGGAGGAACACCGGUGGCGAGGGCGGCUCUCUGGACCGAUACUGACGCUGAAGCGCGAAAGCGUGGGGAGCGAACGGGAUUAGAUACCCUUGUAGU